This 107-nucleotide small RNA is filed under the name Klebsiella quasipneumoniae. RNAcentral describes it as "partial RtT sRNA". It matches the Rfam family "RtT RNA", at positions 28 to 130 of the family's 130-position model. From Rfam's summary of the family: This family represents a bacterial cis-regulatory element known as RtT RNA. The record is from RNAcentral. Lineage: Bacteria; Pseudomonadati; Pseudomonadota; Gammaproteobacteria; Enterobacterales; Enterobacteriaceae.
ACCUCCGGGGGCAGGAGGUUCGACUCGAGCGAAGCGAGAGAACGUUGCGUCAGCAACGGCCCGCAGGGCGAGCCACAAAGUGGCGAGUCAUCCUCUAUCACCGACCA